CUGGCUCAGGAUGAACGCUAGCUACAGGCUUAACACAUGCAAGUCGAGGGGCAGCAUGGAGUUUGCUUGCAAACUCUGAUGGCGACCGGCGAAUGGGUGAGUAACGCGUAUCCAACCUGCCCUGUGCCCGGGAAUAGCCCUUGGAAACGAGGAUUAACGCCCGAUGGCGUGCGAUGACCGCAUGGGAUUUGCACUAAAUGGAAAGGCACGGGAUGGGGAUGCGUUCCAUUAGGUGUUGGCGGGUAACGGCCCACCAAGCCUUCGAUGGAUAGGGGUUCUGAGAGGAAGGUCCCCCACAUUGGAACUGAGACACGGUCCAAACUCCUACGGGAGGCAGCAGUGAGGAAUAUUGGUCAAUGGGCGGAAGCCUGAACCAGCCAAGUAGCGUGAGGGAUGACGGCCCUACGGGUUGUAAACCUCUUUUAUGCGGGGAUAAAGUGCUCCACGUGUGGAGUUUUGCAGGUACCGCAUGAAUAAGGACCGGCUAAUUCCGUGCCAGCCGCUGC
RNAcentral lists this ribosomal RNA (506 nucleotides) under uncultured bacterium. RNAcentral's name for it is "bacterial SSU rRNA". It matches the Rfam family "Bacterial small subunit ribosomal RNA", at positions 19 to 518 of the family's 1533-position model. The record is from RNAcentral.